AUAAAUUUUGACCUCAAAUCAGGUAAGGAUACCCGCUGAACUUAAGCAUAUCAAUAAGCGGAGGAAAAGAAACCAACAGGGAUUGCCUUAGUAACGGCGAGUGAAGCGGCAAAAGCUCAAAUUUGAAAUCUAGUGCCUAUGGUACUCGAGUUGUAAUUUGAAGAAUUUUUCUCCGAACAGUCCUUUAUCUAUGUUCCUUGGAACAGGACGUCAUAGAGGGUGAGAAUCCCGUGUGAUUUUGGAUACUGUUCAUUGUGAGAUUUAUUCGAAGAGUCGAGUUGUUUGGGAAUGCAGCUCUAAGUGGGUGGUAAGUUCCAUCUAAAGCUAAAUAUUGGCGAGAGACCGAUAGCGAACAAGUACAGUGAUGGAAAGAUGAAAAGAACUCUGAAGAGAGGGUGAAAAAGUACGUGAAAUUGCUGAAAGGGAAGGGCUUUAGGUCAGACUUGGUGUUUAAUACUCAGUUCUCCUUGUGGGAGCUGCUCUUGUUUUUCACUGGGCCAAUAUCAGUUUUGGCGGUAGAGCACCUCUGGAAAUGUAGCUGCCUUCGGGUAGUGUUAUAGUCUGGGGACGAUCUACUGCUGGGACUGAGGUCUGCGCAUUUUGCUAGGAUAUUGGCAUAAUGACCUUAAGCCGCCCGUCUUGAAACACGGA
This 651-nucleotide ribosomal RNA is filed under the name Saccharomycopsis schoenii. RNAcentral describes it as "LSU rRNA". It matches the Rfam family "Eukaryotic large subunit ribosomal RNA", at positions 1 to 665 of the family's 3401-position model. Lineage: Eukaryota; Fungi; Ascomycota; Saccharomycetes; Ascoideales; Saccharomycopsidaceae. The record is from RNAcentral.